Molecule: ribosomal RNA, 465 nt
Filed under: Vreelandella stevensii
Lineage: Bacteria; Pseudomonadati; Pseudomonadota; Gammaproteobacteria; Oceanospirillales; Halomonadaceae
Description: partial 16S ribosomal RNA
Rfam family: Bacterial small subunit ribosomal RNA
Source: RNAcentral
CCUACGGGAGGCUGCAGUGGGGAAUAUUGGACAAUGGGGGGAACCCUGAUCCAGCCAUGCCGCGUGUGUGAAGAAGGCCCUCGGGUUGUAAAGCACUUUCAGUGAGGAAGAACGCCUGGUGGUUAAUACCCAUCAGGAAAGACAUCACUCACAGAAGAAGCACCGGCUAACUCCGUGCCAGCAGCCGCGGUAAUACGGAGGGUGCGAGCGUUAAUCGGAAUUACUGGGCGUAAAGCGCGCGUAGGUGGCUUGAUAAGCCGGUUGUGAAAGCCCCGGGCUCAACCUGGGAACGGCAUCCGGAACUGUCAAGCUAGAGUGCAGGAGAGGAAGGUAGAAUUCCCGGUGUAGUGGUGAAAUGCGUAGAGAUCGGGAGGAAUACCAGUGGCGAAGGCGGCCUUCUGGACUGACACUGACACUGAGGUGCGAAAGCGUGGGUAGCAAACAGGAUUAGAUACCCCUGUAGUC